RNAcentral lists this ribosomal RNA (468 nucleotides) under uncultured bacterium. RNAcentral describes it as "partial 16S ribosomal RNA". It matches the Rfam family "Bacterial small subunit ribosomal RNA", at positions 28 to 507 of the family's 1533-position model. The record is from RNAcentral.
GACGAACGCUGGCGGCGUGCUUAACACAUGCAAGUCGAACGGAAAGGCCCUGCUUUUGUGGGGUGCUCGAGUGGCGAACGGGUGAGUAACACGUGAGUAACCUGCCCUUGACUUUGGGAUAACUUCAGGAAACUGGGGCUAAUACCGGAUAGGAGCUCCUGCUGCAUGGUGGGGGUUGGAAAGUUUCGGCGGUUGGGGGUGGACUCGCGGCUUAUCAGCUUGUUGGUGGGGUAGUGGCUUACCAAGGCUUUGACGGGUAGCCGGCCUGAGAGGGUGACCGGCCACAUUGGGACUGAGAUACGGCCCAGACUCCUACGGGAGGCAGCAGUGGGGAAUAUUGCACAAUGGGCGGAAGCCUGAUGCAGCAACGCCGCGUGCGGGAUGACGGCCUUCGGGUUGUAAACCACUUUCGCCUGUGACGAAGCGUGAGUGACGGUAAUGGGUAAAGAAGCACCGGCUAACUACGUG